AGAGCCGGCCCGCCGAAUCUCCGAGCCCGGAGAACCGGGGACCCACCUCCCUGAAGUCCCCCGGGGUGAAUCCGAGACGCCGUCAGCGCUCUCGGUAGGGCUGCCUCCGGCCCGAACCCGUCAGCUAACCCGGUAGGCGGUGCGAGGAAGAGGA
Molecule: small RNA, 154 nt
Filed under: Planomonospora parontospora subsp. sphaerica
Lineage: Bacteria; Bacillati; Actinomycetota; Actinomycetes; Streptosporangiales; Streptosporangiaceae
Description: Planomonospora sphaerica c-di-AMP sequence
Rfam family: c-di-AMP riboswitch aptamer (ydaO/yuaA leader)
About the family: This family represents a conserved RNA structure found upstream of the ydaO and yuaA genes in Bacillus subtilis and related genes in other bacteria. The ydaO/yuaA element is thought to act as a genetic "off" switch for the ydaO and yuaA genes in its native state. It is believed that the element may be triggered during osmotic shock leading to activation of ydaO, a predicted amino acid transporter gene, and members of the yuaA-yubG operon which code for KtrA and KtrB K+ transporters.
Source: Rfam by way of RNAcentral